This 20-nucleotide small nuclear RNA is filed under the name Arabidopsis thaliana (thale cress). Its description in RNAcentral is "snRNA_10356". The record is from RNAcentral. Lineage: Eukaryota; Viridiplantae; Streptophyta; Magnoliopsida; Brassicales; Brassicaceae.
CAAGGUAUACUUUGUUACUG